This 345-nucleotide ribosomal RNA is filed under the name Gambierdiscus australes. RNAcentral's name for it is "partial Bacterial large subunit ribosomal RNA". It matches the Rfam family "Bacterial large subunit ribosomal RNA", at positions 789 to 1130 of the family's 2925-position model. Lineage: Eukaryota; Dinophyceae; Gonyaulacales; Pyrocystaceae. The record is from RNAcentral.
UUGAAAAGCCAGGGGAUGACUUGUGGAUCGGAGUGAAAGGCUAAUCAAGCCCGGAGAUAGCUGGUUCUCCCCGAAAGCUAUUUAGGUAGCGCCUCGGACGAAUACCACAGGGGGUAGAGCACUGUUUCGGCUAGGGGGCACACAAGUGUUUACCAAACCGAUGCAAACUCCGAAUACCUGGAAGUGCAAUCACGGGAGACACACGGCGGGUGAUAACGUCCGUCGUGGAAAGGGAAACAACCCAGACCAUCAGCUAAGGUCCCAAAAUUAUGGCUCAGUGGAAAACGAUGUGGGAAGGCCCAGACAGCUAGGAGGUUGGCUUAGAAGCAGCCACCCUUUAAAGAA